AUGAUUUCAUUCUUGUGCUGUACGAGCAGCGCCGCGAAAGCGGCAGGGUCUGGUGGGAGUGGAUGAUGCGGUUUUAGCGAAUGUUCUUUAAAAACUAACAGCCGAUAAGUGUGGUGUGGGCGCUUUGUGUUUCGCUGAAAAGCGUGGUGGCGAUUCUUCGAAAGUGCUGCCGUGAAGCGAAAGUAUCAAGUCUCACACUAAUUAAGGUAGGUUUUGAGCGUCUUUUCAGAGAUGGAAAGAUUGGUAGGGACAGGGACUUGUCAGUACGUUGAGGUGGGCGACCUAUUCGCAAGAAUAAUAGAAAACAGUAACAGGCAUUGAACUGAAGAGUUCAAUCCUGGCUCAGUUUGAACACUGGCGGCAUGUCUUACAUUUUGUCCGGAAAGAAAACUUCCUGGUUAAUACCUGGGGAGGAUGACGGUACCGGAAGAAUAAGCACCGGUUAAUUACGUGCCAGCAGCCGCGGUAAUACGUAGGGUGUGAGCGUUAAUCGGAAUUACUGGGCGUAAAGCUUGCGCAGGCCGUUCGUUAAGACAGAUGUGAAAUCCCCGGGCUUAACUUGGGGACUGCGUUUGUGACUGGCGAGCUAGAGUAUGAGGGGAGGUAGAGUUCCACGUGUAGCAGUGAAAUAGGAAUACCGAUGGCGAAGGCAACUCCUUGGGCUAAUACUGACGUUCAUGCACGAAAGCGUGGAGAGCAAACAGGAUUAGAUACCCUGGUAGUCCACGCCCUAAACGGCGUCAACUAGUUGUUGGGGGUUCAUUUCCUUACUCAGUAACGUAGCUAACGCGUGAAGUUGACCGCCUGAGGAGUACGGUCACAAGAUUAUUAAAACUCAAAGGAAUUGACGGGGAUCCGCACAAGCGGUGGAUGAUGUGGAUUAAUUCGGUGCAACGCGAAAAAUCUUACCUACUUUUGACAUGGUCAGAACCCUGCUGAAAGGUGGGGGUGUUCGAAAGAGAACCGAUAUACAGGUGUUGCAUGGCUGUCGUCAGUUUGUGUCGUGAGAUGUUGGGUUAAGUCCUGCAACGAGCACAACCCUUGUCCUUAGUUGCUACGCAAGAGCACUCUAGGGAGACUGCUGGUGAAAAACCGGAAGGUUGGGGAUGACGUCAAGUCCUCAUGGUCCUUAUGGGUAAGGCUUCACACGUCAUACAAUGGUCGGAAGCCAGAAGGCCGCCAACCCGUGAGGGGGGGAUAAUCCCAGAAAACCGAUCGUAGUCUGCAACUAGACUACGUGAAGCUGGAAUCGAUAGUAAUUGCGGAUUAGCAAGCCGCGGUGAAUACGUUCCCGGGUACUGUAUACACCGCUCGUCACACCAUGGGAGUGUGGGAGUGGAUUUUCCAGAAGUGGCUAGUCUAACCGCAAGGAGGACGGUCAUCACGGUAGGAUUUAUGACUGAGGUGAAGUCGUAACAAGGUAGCGGUAUCGGAAGGUGCGGGUGGAUCACUUUUUUUCUCGAGCUCAACGUUUCAAGGUGAAGUGCUAAAGCGCUCGCGCUUAUCGGCUGUGAGAAGACAGGCUAAGGGUCUGUAGCUCAGAUGGUUAGAGCACCGUCUUGAUAAGGCGGGGGUCGU
RNAcentral lists this ribosomal RNA (1578 nucleotides) under Candidatus Burkholderia crenata. RNAcentral describes it as "SSU rRNA". The stretch from base 320 to 1458 matches the Rfam family "Bacterial small subunit ribosomal RNA". The record is from RNAcentral. Lineage: Bacteria; Pseudomonadati; Pseudomonadota; Betaproteobacteria; Burkholderiales; Burkholderiaceae.